AAGCGAUAACUAAGUGGAAAAGGAUGUGAAGUCGCACAGACAACCAGGAGGUUGGCUUAGAAGCAGCCACCCUUGAAAGAGUGCGUAAUAGCUCACUGGUCAAGUGAUCCCGCGCCGAUAAUGUAGCGGGGCUUAAGUACACCACCGAAGUCGUGACAACACGCACGUGUUGUGUGUGUUGGGUAGGGGAGCGUCCUGCGUACGGUGAAGUCAUGGUGUGAACUGUGGUGGAGUGUGUGGGAGUGAGAAUGCAGGCAUGAGUAGCGAAUGAUCUGUGAGAAACAGGUCCGCCGGAUGAUCAAGGGUUCCAGGGUUAAGCUAAUCUGCUCUGGGUGAGUCGGGGCCUAAGGCGAGGCCGACAGGCGUAGUCGAUGGAUAACGGGUUGAUAUUCCCGUACCGGCGAAGAACCGCCCAAGAUAAUCCAGUGGUGCUAAGAGUCCUAACCCGGCUGAGUGGAUCCCUUCGGGGUGAUGCCGGCCGGUCUAACGCUCGACCCCAUGCUGGUGCGUUUAGCGUAUUAACA
This 524-nucleotide non-coding RNA is filed under the name Lasius niger. RNAcentral describes it as "Bacterial large subunit ribosomal RNA". It matches the Rfam family "Bacterial large subunit ribosomal RNA", at positions 1050 to 1578 of the family's 2925-position model. The record is from Rfam by way of RNAcentral. Lineage: Eukaryota; Metazoa; Arthropoda; Insecta; Hymenoptera; Formicidae.